Molecule: unclassified non-coding RNA, 320 nt
Filed under: Nocardia cyriacigeorgica
Lineage: Bacteria; Bacillati; Actinomycetota; Actinomycetes; Mycobacteriales; Nocardiaceae
Description: 16S-23S ribosomal RNA intergenic spacer region
Source: RNAcentral
AAGGAGCAUCUGCACUGCUCGCUUCGUAGAGUCGAAGGUCGAGAGUGCCAGAGCCGCUUAUGUUCCCGAAUGUGGAACUGCGGAGCUCAUGGGUGGAACGCUGACAUGUGCCGGCAUCAACUUCACUGCUGAGUCAGUGGGGCGCCGGAUGUAGUCGACACACUGUUGGGUCCUGAAAGAACAGACGUUCUUUCCAGGCAAAAAUACGACGAAAUCUUCUUCGCGGACAUACCGCAGGGUUUCUCUGGCUGGUGCCGCAGUAGCGAGAAGGUUUUGUGUGUUGUUUGAGAACUGCACAGUGGACGCGAGCAUCUUUGUUA